GAUGAACGCUGGCGGCGUGCCUAAUACAUGCAAGUCGAGCGAACAGACGAGGAGCUUGCUCCUCUGACGUUAGCGGCGGACGGGUGAGUAACACGUGGAUAACCUACCUAUAAGACUGGGAUAACUUCGGGAAACCGGAGCUAAUACCGGAUAAUAUAUUGAACCGCAUGGUUCAAUAGUGAAAGACGGUUUUGCGGUCACUUAUAGAUGGAUCCGCGCCGCAUUAGCUAGUUGGUAGGGUAACGGCUUACCAAGGCAACGAUGCGUAGCCGACCUGAGAGGGUGAUCGGCCACACUGGAACUGAGCCACGGUCCAGACUCCUACGGGAGGCAGCAGUAGGGAAUCUUCCGCAAUGGGCGAAAGCUUGACGGAGCAACGCCGCGUGAGUGAUGAAGGUCUUCGGAUCGUAAAACUCUGUUAUUAGGGAAGAACAAAUGUGUAAGUAACUAUGCACGUCUUGACGGUACCUAAUCAGAAAGCCACGGCUAACUACGUG
RNAcentral lists this ribosomal RNA (497 nucleotides) under uncultured bacterium. RNAcentral's name for it is "partial 16S ribosomal RNA". It matches the Rfam family "Bacterial small subunit ribosomal RNA", at positions 28 to 507 of the family's 1533-position model. The record is from RNAcentral.